Molecule: ribosomal RNA, 253 nt
Filed under: uncultured bacterium
Lineage: Bacteria
Description: partial 16S ribosomal RNA
Rfam family: Bacterial small subunit ribosomal RNA
Source: RNAcentral
UACGAAGGGGGCUAGCGUUGCUCGGAAUCACUGGGCGUAAAGCGCACGUAGGCGGACUCUUAAGUCGGUGGUGAAAUCCUGGAGCUCAACUCCAGAACUGCCUUCGAUACUGAGAGUCUCGAGUCCGAGAGAGGUGAGUGGAACUGCGAGUGUAGAGGUGAAAUUCGUAGAUAUUCGCAAGAACACCAGUGGCUAAGGCGGCUCACUGGCUCGGUACUGACGCUGAGGUGCGAAAGCGUGGGGAGCAAACAGG